CUAUCGGUACCCUCACAAUGGCACUGACUUGUCUGUUGUAUUUGGUAAGUGCUAUUUGUUGGGGUAGUU
Cyprinus carpio carpio is the source of this 69-nucleotide microRNA precursor. The record is from Ensembl. NCBI's taxonomy places the organism in Eukaryota, Metazoa, Chordata, Actinopteri, Cypriniformes, Cyprinidae.